Molecule: small nucleolar RNA, 133 nt
Filed under: Naja naja (Indian cobra)
Lineage: Eukaryota; Metazoa; Chordata; Lepidosauria; Squamata; Elapidae
Description: Small nucleolar RNA SNORA71 (ENSNNAG00000012166.1)
Rfam family: Small nucleolar RNA SNORA71
About the family: The members of this family belong to the H/ACA class of snoRNAs which bind a number of proteins (including dyskerin, Gar1p and Nop10p) to form snoRNP complexes.
Source: Rfam by way of RNAcentral
GCCUGCAAUUCGAAAGGUGGGAGGCCUUCACUUGCGGCCUUUGUCAUUGAUAGUGCAGGCAGAGGAUGCCUGGAAGCAUUUCCCAUGUUUGUGGAGCCUCUUGCCAUCCCCCGAACACUGAGCUUUUCAGACA